This is a non-coding RNA of Pelobates cultripes (western spadefoot toad), 162 nucleotides long. NCBI's taxonomy places the organism in Eukaryota, Metazoa, Chordata, Amphibia, Anura, Pelobatidae. The record is from the annotation of a GenBank genome assembly.
CAGCAGACACAUUCCAGCCAAUCAGCAGCUGACCCUCCCUCCCAGACCCUCCCACCUCCUGGACAGCAUCCAUUUUGAAGCUGCAUUCUUAGUGAGCUGUCCAGGAGGUGGGAGGGUCUGGGAGGGAGGGUCUGCUGCUGAUUGGCUGGAAUGUGUCUGCUG